CAGUCGCCACGGUAAAACGAAGGGGGCUAGCGUUGUUCGGAUUUACUGGGCGUAAAGCGCACGUAGGCGGAUCGAUCAGUCAGGGGUGAAAUCCUGGAGCUCAACUCCAGAACUGCCUUUGAUACUGUCGAUCUCGAGUCCGGAAGAGGUGAGUGGAACUCCUAGUGUAGAGGUGAAAUUCGUAGAUAUUGGGAAGAACACCGGUGGCGAAGGCGGCGACCUGGUCCAUAACUGACGCUGAGGCGCGAAAGCGUGGGGAGCAAACAGGAUUAGAUACCCCUGUAGUCCCUGUCUCUUAUAA
Molecule: ribosomal RNA, 301 nt
Filed under: uncultured bacterium
Lineage: Bacteria
Description: partial 16S ribosomal RNA
Rfam family: Bacterial small subunit ribosomal RNA
Source: RNAcentral